CCUACGGGGCGCAGCAGUGGGGAAUAUUGGACAAUGGGCGAAAGCCUGAUCCAGCCAUGCCGCGUGUGUGAAGAAGGCCUUCGGGUUGUAAAGCACUUUCAGUGGGGAAGAAAGCCUUGGGGCUAAUACCCUCGAGGAAGGACAUCACCCACAGAAGAAGCACCGGCUAACUCCGUGCCAGCAGCCGCGGUAAUACGGAGGGUGCGAGCGUUAAUCGGAAUUACUGGGCGUAAAGCGCGCGUAGGCGGUCUGAUAAGCCGGUUGUGAAAGCCCCGGGCUCAACCUGGGAACGGCAUCCGGAACUGUCAGGCUAGAGGGCAGGAGAGGAAGGUAGAAUUCCCGGUGUAGCGGUGAAAUGCGUAGAGAUCGGGAGGAAUACCAGUGGCGAAGGCGGCCUUCUGGACUGACACUGACGCUGAGGUGCGAAAGCGUGGGUAGCAAACAGGAUUAGAUACCCUGGUAGUC
This 465-nucleotide ribosomal RNA is filed under the name Vreelandella stevensii. Its description in RNAcentral is "partial 16S ribosomal RNA". It matches the Rfam family "Bacterial small subunit ribosomal RNA", at positions 338 to 795 of the family's 1533-position model. The record is from RNAcentral. Lineage: Bacteria; Pseudomonadati; Pseudomonadota; Gammaproteobacteria; Oceanospirillales; Halomonadaceae.